UGGGGAAUAUUUGACAAUGGGCGCAAGCCUGAUCCAGCCAUGCCGCGUGAGUGAUGAAGGCCCUAGGGUUGUAAAGCUCUUUCACCGGUGAAGAUAAUGACGGUAACCGGAGAAGAAGCCCCGGCUAACUUCGUGCCAGCAGCCGCGGUAAUACGAAGGGGGCUAGCGUUGUUCGGAUUUACUGGGCGUAAAGCGCACGUAGGCGGACUUUUAAGUCAGGGGUGAAAUCCCGGGGCUCAACCCCGGAACUGCCUUUGAUACUGGAAGUCUUGAGGAUGGUAGAGGUGAGUGGAAUUCCGAGUGUAGAGGUGAAAUUCGUAGAUAUUCGGAGGAACACCAGUGGCGAAGGCGGAUCACUGGACCAUUACUGACGCUGAGGUGCGAAAGCGUGGGGAGCAAACAGG
This 404-nucleotide ribosomal RNA is filed under the name Actinomycetes bacterium. Its description in RNAcentral is "Actinobacteria bacterium partial 16S ribosomal RNA". It matches the Rfam family "Bacterial small subunit ribosomal RNA", at positions 355 to 776 of the family's 1533-position model. Lineage: Bacteria; Bacillati; Actinomycetota; Actinomycetes. The record is from RNAcentral.